GACGUAGGGCGCGAGCGUUGUCCGGAUUUAUUGGGCGUAAAGAGCUCGUAGGCGGCUCAUCGCGUCAACCGUGAAAACCAGCAGCUCAACUGUUGGCUUGCGGUUGAUACGGGUGGGCUGGAGUUCGGUAGGGGAGACUGGAAUUCCUGGUGUAGCGGUGAAAUGCGCAGAUAUCAGGAGGAACACCGGCGGCGAAGGCGGCACUCUGGGCCGGUACUGACGCUGAGGAGCGAAAGCGUGGGUAGCAAACAGG
Molecule: ribosomal RNA, 253 nt
Filed under: uncultured bacterium
Lineage: Bacteria
Description: partial 16S ribosomal RNA
Rfam family: Bacterial small subunit ribosomal RNA
Source: RNAcentral